UAGUAUUUGGCUUAGUGGUAGAGUGCUUGCCUAGCAUGCAUGAAGCCCUGGGUUCAAUUCCUCAGUACCAC
RNAcentral lists this transfer RNA (71 nucleotides) under Dipodomys ordii (Ord's kangaroo rat). It matches the Rfam family "tRNA". Rfam says of the family: Transfer RNA (tRNA) molecules are approximately 80 nucleotides in length. Their secondary structure includes four short double-helical elements and three loops (D, anti-codon, and T loops). Lineage: Eukaryota; Metazoa; Chordata; Mammalia; Rodentia; Heteromyidae. The record is from Rfam by way of RNAcentral.